Molecule: long non-coding RNA, 1581 nt
Organism: Equus asinus (donkey)
Lineage: Eukaryota; Metazoa; Chordata; Mammalia; Perissodactyla; Equidae
Source: Ensembl
UGCUCUCUCUUUCUACUAUGAUUUCCUCUUGAUCACUCUCCCUCUAGGACUGGGCGGCAAUGAAGUGGCUACAGACAUUUUUGGAAUCCUACCAAAGGGAGGUUGAGUUGGGGGGACGUUUAGUUUGUGUUUAGUGGGAUCGAUUUACAUGGUUUGUAGUUAUUUGCAUGUAUAAUUCAGUUACUGCCAGCCAUCUGGCAUAGGAAUGACUUCCCGAAAUUCUUCUACCACCCACUGUGGCAAUUCACCUAGAAUUGUGACAUGAGCUCUCUCUACUUUAGCCUCAGCUCUUACGUAGGUCCUCCAGUCCUGCUGGGAGUUACUGGGCCUCCAUUAAUACAGCGAAUUGUUUGAUCCCAUUUAGCUCCUGCUCCCUGUUUAUCUUUACUGAUUAUAGUUUGCAGUGGUGGAAGGGUAAAUGAUUGGGACCUCAAAUCUCUAACACACAAAUCACUAAGGUCGCUUUUGACUGAUAUUUUAAUUGCACUAUAUUAAAAUGUGUUCAGGGAUGAAGCAGAGUGAAAAAGUAAGCUGCAAAUAAGGGAGUACUUGGGGUGUUUGCAUCAUUUUGAACUUGUGUGCACAACCAAAGGUGGUUAGCCUAGUUCCUCAUUCUGGGCCCAGGGUGAGAUGACCUGACCCCCAAGUUCUUCCAUCAGACUGAGACUGCAUUUGACUUGUCCAGCCACAGUCAUUUACUACCCCACUGUAUCUGUAAGUACGCUGAAUGUGUGUGGGUUCUCACUCCAGCCACCAUGGGAAGUAAGGCUGCUUCCUAAGGCCCUUGUUCUUCCUGUAUUUCCUGCCUCUUGACUCUUACUGAACUCCUAGACCCCUUCAAAACCCAGCUCAGAUACAAACUCCUUUAAGAAGGCUUUCCUUAUUCCCCAAAGAUGUAAUUAAUCUUUUCUCUCUCUGUGCUACUUUCAUAUGUUACAUAUUCUAUAUAUUAUAAAGCUAAUACUGACAAAGUACUUUCUAUGUGUCAUGCAGUGUUCUAAGUGCUUAACAUAUAUCAACUCAUUUAAUUUUCAUCACAAUUCUAUGAGGAAGAUACUCUCAAUAAUCCUACUUUGCAGAUGAGGAAACUGAGAAGGUAAGCGGCUUGCUCUAAGUCACAGGCUUUGAAUCCACGUAGCUCUUAAAACACUCUGCCAUGCAUUUCUACUGCAGCACUUAAUGCACUAUUUUGCCAUUUAUUUGUUUCCAAGUCCUUUUCAAUACUGUGAGCUCCUGAAAGCAAGGACCUGUCUUAUUUGCUCAUCUCUGUAUCCCCAUCACUUGGCAGUCCCCUAGCUGAUCGACUUCCUUUGUGCUCACUAGGCCAUGGCAGAGACCCUCAACUGUGACCAGCCAAGUCAAAAACUUUCUCAUGAGCCUGGGACUGAACAUCCACAGGGUAGUCUAAGAUGUGACUAAGUCAAGUACAAUGGCCAUUUGCAGUAAUUCCUGAGAAAUAGCUCACCAGAAUCUAGAGCAAAAAAAGGAACCUCACCCCACAAGUAAGAAACCCCAGAACCUGAACAAGAAUUUGGAAAUCAAAUCUCUAAGGCAAAUCAACUUGGGCAGAAUCCACGAUCA